AGAGUUUGAUCAUGGCUCAGGAUGAACGCUGGCGGCGUGCCUAAUACAUGCAAGUCGAGCGAACCACUUCGGUGGGAAGCGGCGAACGGGUGAGUAACACGUAGGUGAUCUGCCCAUCAGACGGGGACAACGAUUGGAAACGAUCGCUAAUACCGGAUAGGACGAAAGUUUAAAGAUGCUCCUGGCAUCACUGAUGGAUGAGCCUGCGGCGCAUUAGCUAGUUGGUGGGGUAAAGGCCUACCAAGGCGACGAUGCGUAGCCGACCUGAGAGGGUGAACGGCCACACUGGGACUGAGACACGGCCCAGACUCCUACGGGAGGCAGCAGUAGGGAAUCUUCGGCAAUGGGCGAAAGCCUGACCGAGCAACGCCGCGUGAAUGAAGAAGGCCUUCGGGUUGUAAAAUUCUGUUAUAAGGGAAGAAAGGUGAUAGGAGGAAAUGACUAUCAAUUGACGGUACCUUAUGAGAAAGCCACGGCUAACUACGUGCCAGCAGCCGCGGUAAUACGUAGGUGGCAAGCGUUAUCCGGAAUUAUUGGGCG
Molecule: ribosomal RNA, 540 nt
Filed under: uncultured bacterium
Lineage: Bacteria
Description: bacterial SSU rRNA
Rfam family: Bacterial small subunit ribosomal RNA
Source: RNAcentral